Molecule: ribosomal RNA, 1233 nt
Filed under: Triticum aestivum (bread wheat)
Lineage: Eukaryota; Viridiplantae; Streptophyta; Magnoliopsida; Poales; Poaceae
Description: partial small subunit ribosomal RNA
Source: RNAcentral
AUGUGGAUGUGGCCAUUGGAGCUGCGCCGCCGCACCAGCCACCCCCUCCCCCCCCCGCCUCCGCCGCCAGGGUCGGAAGAUUCGCCGGAUCGGGCGGGCGGUGAUGGUGGAAAUGGGUGCCCACCGCCGGAGUUUCCUGGGGGCAGCAGAUUGGGCUCGGCGGGCUCGUCGGUAGCUUCGGCACCGCCACCGCCGGCGAGGCGGGCUCCCAGACAGAGCCAGCUAGUACAAGGUGGGCCAGCGGCUGCAGGCCACUUUUCCAGGGAUCAGGCUGACAAAGGUGCUGCUGUUACCAUGCAAAGUGGAGCUGUGACGUUGGCUAGCAGCCAAAACGGCCGUUUGACUGGUCAGAUACACAGCCCCGUCCGCGCUAGCCAAUUGGAGACUCAGGUGGAAAGCUGCGCUUCGUGCGUCGGUAUUCGCGGGCCUGUCUUGGGAGAGAGGCAGCACGUUUCCCCUGCCUCUGUGGGUCCGCGGAGGUGGCCCCUGCCCACUCAGGAGGUGCCCAAGGUGGUCGUGGGAUCGAUGCAGCUACAACUAUCCAUGGGAUCAGUGCCCUUCCUGGUGCAUGCCGGUGAUAAAGCGGCCAACGCGCACAUGCUGGCGCCAAGCCAGGAUGGUCCUACCUCGUUCAAAUCACCAGAUGGCGACAAGGAGUGGAUGGAUGGCUCAUGGGACAACACCAGCAUCAAGGAGGACCUAGUUGGGCGGCCAUCAAUUGGGGAGCAGGUGGACUCGGUGGCCUCGCGACAGGAUUUGUUCCUGGUCAGUCUGUCGGGCGGCUCGGGUGACGACACGUGCCCAGUCACAAUUGGGGAAUCGCCAUGCACCCCAUACAUGGCCCAACGCAGUCUGGUGGAGGCUCUUUGUGAGGAGAUUCGAAAAGCCAUCACCCCGGUUCUAGCCAUGCUCCUAAACCAUGAGGAUAAUGGCAUCAAGCAGCGGCAGUGGCAUAAAAGGCCACCAAAAUCAAACCCGAGAAGGAGCGUCAGGUUGGCCAAGGCACUUGGCCGUGGAGGGAAUGCGACGAAGCAACAGAAUGUCCUGAUACGCAAACUCUGCCUUGCAAAUGAAGGAGAAUCCAUCAGCGAUGUGGCGCUACAGGCAUACGUGCAACUUUUCGACAACCCACUGUCGGACGAGCACAUCAGUGCCAUUCUUGCCCUGUUUGGUUGGGAGCCUUCUACCUUGCCGCUCUCUAUGCAAGACGAAGGGGUGGUGGACGGCCUUUGA